Molecule: ribosomal RNA, 468 nt
Filed under: uncultured bacterium
Lineage: Bacteria
Description: partial 16S ribosomal RNA
Rfam family: Bacterial small subunit ribosomal RNA
Source: RNAcentral
GACGAACGCUGGCGGCGUGCUUAACACAUGCAAGUCGAACGGAAAGGCCCUGCUUUUGUGGGGUGCUCGAGUGGCGAACGGGUGAGUAACACGUGAGUAACCUGCCCUUGACUUUGGGAUAACUUCAGGAAACUGGGGCUAAUACCGGAUAGGAGCUCCUGCUGCAUGGUGGGGGUUGGAAAGUUUCGGCGGUUGGGGAUGGACUCGCGGCUUAUCAGCUUGUUGGUGGGGUAGUGGCUUACCAAGGCUUUGACGGGUAGCCGGCCUGAGAGGGUGACCGGCCACAUUGGGACUGAGAUACGGCCCAGACUCAUACGGGAGGCAGCAGUGGGGAAUAUUGCACAAUGGGCGGCAGCCUGAUGCAGCAACGCCGCGUGCGGGAUGACGGCCUUCGGGUUGUAAACCGCUUUCGCCUGUGACGAAGCGUGAGUGACGGUAAUGGGUAAAGAAGCACCGGCUAACUACGUG